CAGUCGCCGCGGUAAGACAGAGGAUGCAAGCGUUAUCCGGAAUGAUUGGGCGUAAAGCGUCUGUAGGUGGCUUUUCAAGUCCGCCGUCAAAUCCCAGGGCUCAACCCUGGACAGGCGGUGGAAACUACCAAGCUGGAGUACGGUAGGGGCAGAGGGAAUUUCCGGUGGAGCGGUGAAAUGCGUUGAGUUCGAAAAGAACACCAACGGCGAAAGCACUCUGCUGGGCCGACACUGACACUGAGAGACGAAAGCUAGGGGAGCAAAUGGGAUUAGAUACCCCUGUAGUCCCUGUCUCUUAUAC
This 301-nucleotide ribosomal RNA is filed under the name uncultured bacterium. Its description in RNAcentral is "partial 16S ribosomal RNA". It matches the Rfam family "Bacterial small subunit ribosomal RNA", at positions 509 to 807 of the family's 1533-position model. The record is from RNAcentral.